GUGGGGAAUAUUGGACAAUGGGCGCAAGCCUGAUCCAGCCAUGCCGCGUGAGUGAUGAAGGCCUUAGGGUUGUAAAGCUCUUUCAGUGGGGACGAUAAUGACGGUACCCACAGAAGAAGCCCCGGCUAACUUCGUGCCAGCAGCCGCGGUAAUACGAAGGGGGCUAGCGUUGUUCGGAAUUACUGGGCGUAAAGCGCACGUAGGCGGGUAUUUAAGUCAGGGGUGAAAUCCCGGAGCUCAACUCCGGAACUGCCUUUGAUACUGGGUACCUAGAGUAUGGAAGAGGUAAGUGGAAUUCCGAGUGUAGAGGUGAAAUUCGUAGAUAUUCGGAGGAACACCAGUGGCGAAGGCGGCUUACUGGUCCAUUACUGACGCUGAGGUGCGAAAGCGUGGGGAGCAAACAGGAUUAGAAACCCGGGUAGUCC
This 425-nucleotide ribosomal RNA is filed under the name uncultured bacterium. RNAcentral describes it as "bacterial SSU rRNA". It matches the Rfam family "Bacterial small subunit ribosomal RNA", at positions 354 to 796 of the family's 1533-position model. The record is from RNAcentral.